CGAGUCCUACGGGGGGCAGCAGUGGGGAAUAUUGCACAAUGGGGGAAACCCUGAUGCAGCAACGCCGCGUGAAGGAAGACGGUUUUCGGAUUGUAAACUUCUGUUCUUAGUGAAGAAAAAUGACGGUAGCUAAGAAGCAAGCCACGGCUAACUACGUGCCAGCAGCCGCGGUAAUACGUAGGUGGCAAGCGUUGUCCGGAAUUACUGGGUGUACAGGGAGCGCAGGCGGGAAGGCAAGUCA
RNAcentral lists this ribosomal RNA (241 nucleotides) under uncultured bacterium. RNAcentral describes it as "partial 16S ribosomal RNA". It matches the Rfam family "Bacterial small subunit ribosomal RNA", at positions 333 to 590 of the family's 1533-position model. The record is from RNAcentral.